Molecule: long non-coding RNA, 342 nt
Filed under: Brassica napus (rape)
Lineage: Eukaryota; Viridiplantae; Streptophyta; Magnoliopsida; Brassicales; Brassicaceae
Description: long non-coding RNA (BNAP_LNC023672)
Source: RNAcentral
CGCUCUUCAACAUCGUCAGUUUUCCGGCGGGAGAUAGGUGUCGGUUGGACCAGCUUCGUGCUUUUUGUUUGAUCCUGUCGACGAUGGAGGAGAAGAGGUCUCGUUUCCUUCUUCCGAAGUGUUCCGGGAGACCGAGGUAUUUCCCAACCCCUCCUUCUUUUUCAAUUCCUAGAGUGUCCUUUGCUAUUUGUUUUAAGGCAGCCGGGGUUUUUUGGAGAAAGUCACCAUUGACUUAUCCGCAUUGAUUGAUUGACCUGAUGCACUUUCGUAUCGCUGUAGCACCCUUCGAAGGGUCUUAGUACUCUCCUUUGAUGCUCUAAUGAAGAACAUGGUAUCAUCCGC